RNAcentral lists this ribosomal RNA (255 nucleotides) under Streptococcus suis. RNAcentral describes it as "partial 16S ribosomal RNA". It matches the Rfam family "Bacterial small subunit ribosomal RNA", at positions 14 to 251 of the family's 1533-position model. The record is from RNAcentral. Lineage: Bacteria; Bacillati; Bacillota; Bacilli; Lactobacillales; Streptococcaceae.
UGAUCCUGGCUCAGGACGAACGCUGGCGGCGUGCCUAAUACAUGCAAGUGGAACGCAUGAUUGAUACCGGAGCUUGCUCCACCAUUAAUCAUGAGUCGCGAACGGGUGAGUAACGCGUAGGUAACCUGCCUCAUAGCGGGGGAUAACUAUUGGAAACGAUAGCUAAUACCGCAUAACAGUAUUUAUCGCAUGGUAAAUGCUUGAAAGGAGCAACUGCUUCACUAUGAGAUGGACCUGCGUUGUAUUAGCUAGUUG